This 71-nucleotide transfer RNA is filed under the name Loxodonta africana (African savanna elephant). It matches the Rfam family "tRNA". From Rfam's summary of the family: Transfer RNA (tRNA) molecules are approximately 80 nucleotides in length. Their secondary structure includes four short double-helical elements and three loops (D, anti-codon, and T loops). Lineage: Eukaryota; Metazoa; Chordata; Mammalia; Proboscidea; Elephantidae. The record is from Rfam by way of RNAcentral.
GCAAUGGUGGUUCAGUGGUAGAGUUUUUGCAUUCUGUACAGGAGACCUGGGUUUGAUUCCCAGCCAAUGCA